Homo sapiens (human) is the source of this 564-nucleotide long non-coding RNA. Ensembl annotates it as long intergenic non-protein coding RNA 2707. Lineage: Eukaryota; Metazoa; Chordata; Mammalia; Primates; Hominidae. The record is from Ensembl.
AGUGUGGAAAUUCUUACUCAGAACACAAAGGAUUGAAGAGUGCUUGGAGGCUGAACUCUGGAAGGACUCUUCCCUGAGGCCUCUUGGCAUCUGGCUCUUGUUUCUUGGAGCGGUGGUAUGGCCCACAGUGGAAGACCACAGCAUGAUGCAUGAAUUUACAUUUCCUCAGACAUUCUGGUGCUGAUGAAGGUAAAGAUGGUGAGGCUGCGAUGAUGGUUUCAGGGAUGGGUGUGUUGGGCGUGAUGAAUAGCAUGAUGCAUAUUGUCACUCAUUUAGUUUAUCUGCACUGAUGAUGAUGCUGAUUAUAUGAUGACUGUUACAGGGAUGGUCACAUUGUGGGUGAUGAAUAUGACCAGAAAGGGAAGACUUUCACAGUUCCUACCCGAACUACAACAUCGAUAUUUUCAUUUGUCUUUCCUAGGAACUCUUACCUUAAUCACCUGACCAAUAUGCUGACGACUAACAUGUUGCGCCCUGCCUUUCUUCCGGGCCUCUCUGCCUUGCUGAUCUGUUUUGCUGGUGUGCCCUCCACUGUGCUCUUGGGUCUUUGUCUCUCGGUAAAGC